RNAcentral lists this long non-coding RNA (1503 nucleotides) under Fukomys damarensis (Damara mole-rat). Its description in RNAcentral is "lncRNA (ENSFDAG00000030153.1)". Lineage: Eukaryota; Metazoa; Chordata; Mammalia; Rodentia; Bathyergidae. The record is from RNAcentral.
GCCUUCAUUUUCCUCCUGCCUUGAAAGAAGCUUUCAGAAAGGCAGACACCCCCAGGCCCGACCUUGGCUCCUAGCCCCAGGAACGGCUGCCUGUUGGAGCCACAGCCCAAGUCAUGCACAGAUCUGCGCCACCCUGUGCACCCUCUCACAUGCCCCCUCCAUGCACGCACGGUUUCUUUACUGCCUUUGGACACCCAAGCUUGAUUUCCUGUCUCCACACUCCUUUCCAUGCAGGGAGGACUGAGAGCUGCUCGCUGUGUUGGCAGGAAACUUCCUGAGCUGCCCAAAGACCCGUCACGCGGCACCUGGAACACCUCUCCGAGGGCUCUCUGAGCUCCCCUGGCUCCCCGGGCCCCUCCUCUCUGCACACACAGCUGCGGGGCUGCCUCCCUCCUCCACCAAAGUUCACCUCUGUGCAGCUGGUGGCUGGAGCCAGGCCAGCACUCCUGGGCUUGCAGAGGCCUGCGGCCAGCAGACUUUCUGCCUCAUCCCUUCUCAUUGAGCAGGGCUGGGUGGGCGACACUGGGGGUUUGUCUGCUCUGGCUGACACCCACACCCCAACCCUGUAAACACACACUCUAGUGCUGUGGGCUCCCCAGCACUGCAGCCUCAGUUCCAAAUUAAGAUAAUCCCGUAGACUGGUCACCCUGUGGAUCCCUCUUUAAAGAAGUGCUCUGCCUGAAAAGAAAGUGAAACCGAGAUUCCGGUCUGUGGCCAUCCUGGCCUGGUUGCCGGGGAAGGCCACUGAUUACUAGAGAUGCCUGGGCAGCAGAGCUGCCAUGAGCCGUCAUCCCCCUGCCGAGGUGCCACUGGGGGCUCGCUGCGACUUGGUCCUUCCAGACCCUCAUCUGUUACGGGUUGGGGCAAACACCAGGGCCCAGAGGUGGAAUCGAAUGGCACAGCCUGCAGACAAGGGACAGUUCAGCUACCCAGGCUGCGCGACUGGAGGGACCUCUCCACACACCCCUUCCGCCCGCCAGUGGACCGCAGGACACGCAGUUCGUCCAGACCCCAAGGCAGCCAGCAUCACAAAGGGAGGCGACCUUGCAACAGCCUUCACUCCAAGGACACCCAGGGACCCCUGAGCCCCAAACCACUCGGGGCCUCAUUGUUACCCACCCUCUGUCAGCAGGGCCCCAUCUGUGCGGCGAUGGAAUUUUUUUUGUCACUUUUUCAAAUCAGAAUAGAAACAAUUUUUAGUCUAUAAUUAUCAUUUCUUUUCUCAACAGACAAAUGUUUCCUCUUAAAUUGUAGGGCGGAAAAAGCAAAGAACAACAUUUUAAACCAAAAAGAAAGACUAAAAUUAAUUUCCUCUUUACAGAAAAAUAAAAUACAACAGCCCUAAGAAGCCAGAGUUUUCUUUCUCCAAAAGAGCAAGGAAUCCACCAAGCGCAUCCACCCUGCGGCAGUUAGCCUCAGCUCCUGGUCCCGUCCACACCCAGCAGGGCCCUCCUUGGGCAGGACGGCACCUGCCCUCAGGCCCAUGGCACCUGACGCACUGAG